AAAUUACUCCCUCCGUCCAAAAAAGCUUGUCCCUUAAAUGGAUGUAUCUAGCACUAUGUUAGUAUGAGAUACAUCCAUUUGAUAGACAAGCUUGGGACAUGUUUUUUCGAACGGAGGGAGUACGUG
Non-coding RNA from Triticum aestivum (bread wheat), 126 nucleotides. NCBI's taxonomy places the organism in Eukaryota, Viridiplantae, Streptophyta, Magnoliopsida, Poales, Poaceae. The record is from Rfam.